This 324-nucleotide ribosomal RNA is filed under the name uncultured eukaryote. RNAcentral's name for it is "partial 18S ribosomal RNA". It matches the Rfam family "Eukaryotic small subunit ribosomal RNA", at positions 1470 to 1796 of the family's 1831-position model. The record is from RNAcentral.
CCCUUAGAUGUCCGGGGCCGCACGCGCGCUACACUGAUGCAUUCAACGAGUUUCUUCCUGGUCCGAGAGGAAUGGGUAACCUUUUGAAAGUGCAUCGUGAUAGGGAUAGACUAUUGCAAUUAUUGGUCUUCAACGAGGAAUUCCUAGUAGACGUAGUUCAUCAGACUGCAUCGAUUACGUCCCUGCCCUUUGUACACACCGCCCGUCGCUCCUACCGAUUGAAUGCUCAGGUGAGCCAUUCGGACUUUCAUCAUGCUGGUUUCCAGUUUUGAUGAAGGAAAGUCUUGCGAACCUUAUCAUUUAGAGGAAGGAGAAGUCGUAACA